CCUACAUUAAAAGCCAUAUCCUUUAAUACGUGCCUUUCUUCCUUUAUCUUCCUUUCAGAAAUUCCUUAUAGAGUCUCCCAAAAUUCACAUCCAAUAAACAGCCUGCAGCCCCGAGUGACAUAUGUCCUGUGGAUGACAGCUCUGACAGCUGCUGGCGAAAGUUCCCACGGAAAUGAGAGGGAAUUUUGUCUGCAAGGUAAAGCCAAUUGGAUGGCGUUUGUGGCACCAAGCAUUUGCAUUGCUAUCAUCAUGGUGGGCAUUUUCUCAACGCAUUACUUCCAGCAAAAGGUGUUUGUUCUCCUAGCAGCCCUCAGACCUCAGUGGUGUAGCAGAGAAAUUCCAGAUCCAGCAAAUAGCACUUGCGCUAAGAAAUAUCCCAUUGCAGAGGAGAAGACACAGCUGCCCUUGGACAGGCUCCUGAUAGACUGGCCCACGCCUGAAGAUCCUGAACCGCUGGUCAUCAGUGAAGUCCUUCAUCAAGUGACCCCAGUUUUCAGACGUCCCCACUGCUCCAACUGGCCACAAAGGGAAAAAGGAAUCCAAGGUCAUCAGGCCUCUGAGAAAGACAUGAUGCACAGUGCCUCAAGCCCACCACCUCCAAGAG
RNAcentral lists this small RNA (604 nucleotides) under Pongo abelii (Sumatran orangutan). RNAcentral describes it as "processed transcript". Lineage: Eukaryota; Metazoa; Chordata; Mammalia; Primates; Hominidae. The record is from RNAcentral.